Long non-coding RNA from Mesocricetus auratus (golden hamster), 1912 nucleotides. RefSeq lists it as uncharacterized. The record is from RefSeq and is a predicted model, not a curated record. NCBI's taxonomy places the organism in Eukaryota, Metazoa, Chordata, Mammalia, Rodentia, Cricetidae. The transcript is spliced from 2 exons.
UGCAGACCACACAGUUCAAAAGAGAAGCCAAACAUCUAGAAAAGAGGAUUUCGCCAAGAGAAGAUUCAAUCAGCGUCUAUUUUAUUUGCACGAGAUAAACCUCCCCAUGGAAUUCCACAGAAGAGUCUGAAAGAGCCAUCUCUGGGAACACAAGGCUGGCAGUGGCCCCUCAGCAGUGAGCUGACCUCUUGCUUCCUUCUGGAAUGACAGCUGUGUUUCCCUGUCCCCCAUCUUAGAUUUGCUGAGUGUGCAAAGCCCUUUAUAUCAUCAUCCGUGCUCUUGACAGUGAGUAGCACAAUCCUAACCAGCCCCCCCCUCCCCGUGAGAACACGGGCAUCCAGAUUCCCAGCCCUCUCCCUGCAUGUUGGGUCUCAUUUCCAGAGACAUCCCCUGUAGCUGAGCCCUCAGCCCUCGCCCUUCACGUCAGAAGUCAGCACACGGCAAACACAAAAGGCGCCAGGUCUUGCUAGGAAGCCGCACAGCGGGUAGAACUCAGUGCAGCCAGGGCACCGCCUCUCAGUGAUGAUGCCUAGGAGCCCCCACUCCGCUGGGAACACCCUUCUUUGCCUCCGAGCUUUCCUUGGCCCUGGUGGCCAGGGACACUCACUGAGCUCCUAAGCGGCAGGGCUGGUUAAGCAAGCGAGGUGUGUGUGAGGGUUAGGUUCUGAGCUCUGAGCUAUCGCUGCACACUGUGUUUUUGUUUUUAAAUCACGCAGAGCCAUGACAAAUGACAGCAUAAGGGGUUUAAGCAGCUGGUGCGCUGAAGAGGAAACAGGUUAAAAUUUAACAGGCACCAGAUAAACGGUGUUUAAAAAACAAGCCCUCCCUUUGCGUUUAUUAACUGGACAAAAAUGAGCCAUCCAACAAACAGACGUGAGCUCGGAGGCCCAGACCCAUCCACUCCCCACACGCUGCCCACUCUGUAACCGGCAGCAACGUGUCUGGAAAGCAGAAGAGGAACGUGUCACCCGCCGGUAGGUGUCUGCUAAUUAGUUCAACUGUCAACUUGACACAAGUUGGGUGGGAAGAGUCUCACUGAAGGACUGUCUAGGUCAGCGUGGCCUGUGGCCAUGUCUAGGAGAGGAGCAGGGUCUUGGCCGCCUUAAUAGAUGUGGGAAGGAAGACCCAGCCCGAGCCUGGCUGACGUCGUCCCCUGGACUGUGUGAGAGUACGGCGAGCAACAAGCAAGCGUGCAUCCGUUCUCUGUCUCUGCUCCGACUGGAUGGGACCAGCUGUGCUAACUUCCUGUGCGGUGUCCUCUCUGCUGUGAGGGGCUGGAACCUGGCACCGGGAGCUAAAGCAAGCCCUUUCUUCGAUAAGCUGCUUAAUGUCAGGGUGUUUUGCCACUGCAACAGACAUGAGGCUAGAGCAGCGAAAAUGCAAGCCGCGCAGAAGUCCAGCAGUGUAGCCGGUGCUGCAGCUGUUGGGCACAGCAUCAGACGGCAGUUCCAGAGAGCCCUGUGCGUCCAGGAGGAGCGAACCUUCUCCAUGAGUCACUGAGGCAGAUUCUCUCACCGAAACCGGAACUCACCUUGCAUCUAGUCUGGAGGACCAGCAUGCUCUGGGGAUUCCGGCUUCACCUCUUGAGCACUAGGAACCAUCCUGCCCACCGGCUCUGCCCAUGUGGCUUUGCAUGGGUUCUGAGGGUCCAGAGUGAUCCUCAUGAUUGCACGACAAGCACUUAUUCCAUUGAGCUACCCCCUCCCCACUAUUUUUAGCAAAGAUGGUAAUUCCUGCUUCCUAUAAGAUAAUAUGAAUUUAUGUAAGGUGCACCAAUAUGUUGAAUUCUCUCUGGCUGUAGGACUGGAGUGAAUGUUACCUUUCCCUUGAUGCUCUGCUGUCAUUUCUAAAUGACCACAAUCUAUAUCAUACUUACUAUGGGAGAAUGUAAUAAAUAUUACUUAAAAUGUUA